Long non-coding RNA from Nicotiana tabacum (common tobacco), 5240 nucleotides. RefSeq lists it as uncharacterized. NCBI's taxonomy places the organism in Eukaryota, Viridiplantae, Streptophyta, Magnoliopsida, Solanales, Solanaceae. The record is from RefSeq and is a predicted model, not a curated record.
UCAACAAGGUUGGUUACCAAACCAAACUAAUUCAACAAGGUUGGCUACUUAACCAAACCAAGUCAACAAGGUUGAUUAUCAAACCAAAGAAACUUUUAUUAAGCACAUGACUAAUACUUGUUGAAUGAGAUGGACAUCGUCAAAUCAUGAAAUGAUGGGAAACAAGAUAUAUAACAUCUAGAAAAGGCUGUGAUGAUUCCUAACUUCUCCAACUUCUUUUUGUCCUCUUAUUAGCGGCUAUGAUGAUUAUGUCUAGAGUUGGGUCGGCGUUGGAGUGGCCCGUAUCUUGGCGGGGCGACCCGGAAUUCAUCUAUUUGAUGCAACUGAUCCCUGCAGCCAUGGCGAUCCUUGUCUCCGUUGCCUGAUUUUUUUUAUCAUCCGAGCCUCUCGGAAAACUGCUUUAUUACCCUCUGAAUUAGAUUAGCCCAGAAAUGGCGAGAAUGAGGCGACAGAGAGCGAGUAUGGGAUUUUUUUUCAAGGGUGGUUGUCCCUCUCUGCUGUGUCUAUGAUUCUCCUUUUUUGUAACAAACCAACAGCCCUUAAAAAAGGAAAGAGAGAAAGAUAGAUGAUAACGCUUCAGUUUCUGGAUUUGUUUGUAGUUUGCAUAUUAUUCAAAGACCCAAUACACACACAAUUAUACUACAACAACUCCGGGACCUUCAGAUCUUAAUGAGGCAGUGAUGAUGAUUUUUUUUCUAUAUCUGGGGGAACAAAUUCGGGCAUGGAGAUUAUCCGACCCGUAUCUUGGCAUGACAACCGGUAUGGUCUGUGAUUGAGACUCUUCUCACUCACAUGCAACUGGUUUUUUGCAGCCAUGGCGUGGUUGGCUCCUCUUUUGCCUUUGUCAUAAACACAUAUCUGAGCCUCAAUUUGGUAAAGAAAAUAUCAAUCUUUUAGAUUUUAUUGAUGUGGGAUAUAUCGAAACCACGCUGUUUUAAGUUCUAAUGCUUUUUUGAGCUGUGAAGUAUAGCCAUUGUUUUCUAUCAGUAGCAGCUCAAGAAUGAGGCAUUAGAGUGAAAUGUGGGAUUUUUUUGUAACGGUGGUUGCCCUCGUUCUCUGGUGCUUUUGCAUUAUUUCUACACCAUAAACAGAAACUGGAUUCUCAACUCAAGAACAAGAAUGGGGCUGCAUAUGGAUGGAAAGUUUUUAAGGGUGUUGCCUUCCAUCUGCAUGCCCGUGAUAUCUCUGUAUUCUGCCACUGCCAAAGCAAAAGCCCUUCUAUCAUGCUUAGCUGGCGCUCUAAUGGUUGUGAUGAUAAAGCAGCUUGAUUUCAUUGUAUUUGGGUCUACUGGACCUGUAUCUUGGCAGUGCAAACCAGGAUGACUUAAGCAGAGUCUUAUUUCUCUAGCAAGCAUUCUUGUUUGCAGCCAUGGCGGUGUCCCUUUACCUGAUCUUAUGACAGAUCUGAGCCUACGUAUAUACUCAUGAGUUUCACUUCAUAGAUAGAUAUCUAAAAAUAGAUGGAAAUAACUUUUAGAUAUGCCUGGAGAAAGAGAAGGACAAUGGUGAAAAAAGUGAAAACUACUUUCCCUUGUGAUGAAAAAGGAAGGUUAGAUACUUAAAGGCAGACUUACACGGGCCUUUAAAAGUUCUCUUCUUGAACUAGCUCAGAAAUUGCAAGGAUGAGGCAAGAGAGAGUAUGAGAUUUCUUUCGAGGGUGGUUGCCCCUCUUUCAAUAUCUGGUUUUCUGGAUGACCAUUUGGGAAAUUUCCCCAAUAUACAAGUAUACCACAACAACUACCUUCAGAUCUUCAGUCUGUCCUCAUGGCCCUUUGUGGUUUCUUCCAGUUUACUCUCAUCGUCUCAUUAUUAAUGGGAACUGGAAAGUGUUACAUUAUGAUGCAUUCUACUACAGAAAGGGGCUGUGAUGAUGCUUAUAAAUCUUUCUAUUUCUGGGCUGAUCAUUGAGUCAUUGAGAUGACCGGACUUGUAUCUUGGCAUGGCAACCCGGUAUGGCAUGUGAUUGAAAACUCCUCUCUCUCUCUCUCUCUCUCUCUCUCAUGCAACCGGUGUUUUGCAGCCAUGGUGUGGCUGGCUUCUCUUUUGCCUUAUCAUAAUACGCAUCUAAGCCUCAAUUUGCUGAAGAUCAUAGGUAGGCAUUUGGACAAUAUUUGAGUUGAAUUUGUGAAGUUCUCUUGAGUGCAGACUUGUGAGGUCUCUUUGGUUAAAAGCUCUUAUCUAAGCGAAUUCUCGUUAUUAGAUUAGCCUAGAAAUGGCGAGAAUGAGGCAACAGAGAGUAUGGGAUUUUUUUCAAAGGGUGGUUGCCCCUCUCUGCUUUUUCAAUGAUACUCCACUUUUCAAAAAACCAACAGCCCUUUAAAAAGAUAGAGAGAAAGAGAACAUACUUCAGUUUCUGGGUUUCUUUGCAUUUUUUGCACCCUUAACGUAUACUCAAACCCCAGUACCCAACUAUACUAUAACAACUACGCGACCUUCGGAUCUUCCGUCUGACUCCUUCAUGGCUUUGAAAACCCUUAAAGAGGCAGUGAUGAUGAUUUAUUUUCUAUACCUGGGCUAACUGAUUGGGGCAUGGAAAUUACCCAAACCCUAUCUUGGCGUGGCAACCCGGUAUGACAUGUGAUUGAGUCUCCUCUCUCUCACAUGCAACCGGUGUUCUGCAGCCAUGGCGUGGUUGGGUUCUCUUUUGCUUUAUCAUAACACAUCUGAGCCUCAAUUUGCUAAAGAAAAUAUACCAUUUCCAUGUAUUGAUGCAGGAGAUAUUGAACCCUCGUCCUUUUUAUUAGAAGUUAUAAUGCUUUUCACUCGUAAUGUUUUUGUCGUCCUCCAGUAAGCCCAUGAUUUAAAUAGCAGCCUUAAUGAUCCGAUUUUUGCAAAUCACCCAGCGAAUUCCUUUUGUUAGAUUAGCCCAAACUGGUGAGGAAAGGCAACAGAGAGUGUGGGAUUUCUUUCAAAGGUGGUUGCCCCUCUCUGCUUAGCCUAUGAUUCUCCAUUUUUUAACAAACCAACAGCCCUUAAAAAAGAAAGAGAGAGCACUUCAGUUUCUGGGUUCUUGCAUUUGCACCCUAAUGCAUACUCAAAACACGAACAUACAACUAUACUACAACACGACCUUUAGAUCUUCAGUCUGUCUCCUCAUGGCUUUGAGAACUCUUAGAGGCAGUGAUGAUGUUUCUCGUAUCUGAGCUAACUGAUUCGGGCAGAUUACCCCACCUGUAUCUUGGCGUGGCAACCUGGUAUGGCCUGUGAUUGAGACUCUUCUCACAUGCAACCAGUGAUCUGCAGCCCUGAGUGGAUGGGUUCUCUUUGCCUCAAUGUGCUAAAGAUAAUAGAUUCAAUGUGGGAGAUAUCGAACCCAUGCCCUUUUGAUUACAAGUUAUAAUGCAUUUUUCACUGCUUAUGUAUUCCAUUUUUAUGGUCAGUAUCAGCUCAAGAAUGAGGCAUUAGAGUGAAAUGUGGGAAUUUUGUAACGGUGGUUGACCUCCUUCUCUACCAUGGCAUGGUCUCCUUCUCUUUGCCUUAUUAGGAACUCAGAUCUGAGCCUCAUUUCCAAUUAGUCCAACUGGACAGCUCGGGAUCGAACACAAGACCUUCGUUGACUGUAACCCAUUUUGUCCUGUUCAGCAGCUCAAAGAACGAGAGAUCAGAGAGAUGGAGAUUUUCGCUUCUUUUGGCAAGAAAAUCAACACCACCCUUUUUAAGGAAACCAUUGAUUAGUUUUCAAUGGAAGGCCAUUCUCUGAACUGGGGAUUCUUCAGCUUUCUGUGUUAGACUGACGUGAUAACCAGCUAGACUACCACUUCAUUUCAGCUCAAAGAAUGAGGCUCAGGGAGGUGAUUCUCAGAGUGGAUGACCAUCUCCGACAUGCUAAUGUUUGUGCAUAUGCAUGUUUCUCGUGUAUAUGUGGCAUUGUGCAUGCAUUUCGGUUGUCUUAAUUUUGUCCUCACUGGCUGUAUUUUGAUGCAAUGCGAACAAAGUAACACAUCCAUAAAAUCCAAUAGGGGAAACAAUGGGGCUAUGAUGACAAUAUUUGUUGAGCUAAUUGAAUUCGGGCAUUGGAAUUUUGCUGGCAUUAUCUUGGCGGGGCAACUUGACUUUCUGGUUUGCAGCCAUGGCAGGUGCAGAGAACUCAAUGCCCCACAUAAUCUGAGCCUCCAUUUUAACAGAAGCCUUAGCAUCGUUUCUCUAUUACCAAUGAGGCCAACAGGGGAGAAAGGGACUUAUUUGAGGGUGGUUGCCCCCUGUUGCUCCUGGCCUGUGAUUUCUCUAUUACCAAAACCUACAGCCCUCUUCUAGUCCUCCUUUUCACCUCAGAUAAGAAAGAAAGCAGAGCAUUACCAGCAGCAACAACAGUAGUACUUGGACCUCGUUCUGAUUUAUGAGCUUAGUCCAAAGCACCCUAAAUUCUUCAAAACCUAUGUUUAUCAAAGAGGCAAUGAUGAUAUUUGCUUAUGUGGGCAAAAAAAUUUAUGCCCUGCAUUGAAACAAGCAGAUCCGUAUUUGGCUUCGCAAACCACUGAUGUUAUGUGAUUUGAGGCUGCUCUAUCACAUGCAACUGGUUCUUUUGCAGCCACGGCGUGGUCUCUUUCUCUUUGCCCAAUUAGUAACCCAACUCUGAGCCUCAAUACUUCAAUUUAUCCUUCUGGACGUUGUUUGAUGGAAACACAUUUUCAUUUUUCAUGAAAGCCAGCUCAUAAAUGAGGCAUCAAUUUUACCAGUCUCAAAAAAAUGAGGCAUCAAUGAGAAAUGGGAAUUACUUAUUUAUUUAUUUGUUCAUUUGUUUAGUUUUGCUGGUAAGGCCAAGAUUUCUUGCUGGAAGAGAUUAACAGUGGUUUGCUCUUUUCUGCAACUCUAGCUUCGGAAGAUGCACGUUGUUGAUUUUUUGCUGCUACUGCUACUGAUUCUCGUCUUGGUGCGACGUGGCUGCAUUAACACCUUAACAGCGAGAAUCAUACUAGAAAUAAAGAAAAAGGUGAAAAAUUGAGGCAGCACUUUUGGUAAAUAGCAUUGUUAAUUUGCAUUGAGAUGAUACAAGACUCAGUAUCUUGGCGGGCAAUCUGGAGAAGGUUGCAGCCAAUAAUAAUAGAGAAAUCUGAGCCUUGGUAUUAAGCAUUACUAGUAGUUUCUAUCUCUUUUUUUUUCCUUUUUUCAAGAUUGCUAAGAGAGUUGCAAUUUUCUUUUGAAAUAUUUUCCGUGUCUUUGUAAGUAUUGCUCGUUUUUUGUAAACAAAAAUUCUGUUCUAAAAGAGGCAAGAGAUGUGGAAAUACAGCGAUUAUAAAUCA